This 717-nucleotide long non-coding RNA is filed under the name Spirodela polyrhiza (greater duckweed). Its description in RNAcentral is "long non-coding RNA (SPOL_LNC001308)". The record is from RNAcentral. Lineage: Eukaryota; Viridiplantae; Streptophyta; Magnoliopsida; Alismatales; Araceae.
GUCGUUAUUCGUAUCCGUCUGCAGUAAGUCUCUAGUUACCGUUUUACGUACAUCUGCUCCUCCAGAUCUGGCCUUGAUAUCUGAGAAAAUUUUAAGGGACAUGUUUAGUUCGUCCGGGGCAGCGCAGGAGGUGGGGAGACCGAGAUUGGCUACUAUCCGAUCGCAGAAGGGCAAGCUAAGUAUCUCAUGAAACCAACCCUGAUUCCCUAUUCCGCAGAUAAGGUCGGGGUCUCUUUUCUCAUGUCCGGAUGCACGAAGCUCGGGAAGGAGAGAUGGACGUCUGCACGAAGAAGCUCAGGCUUGUGAUCGGAGACGCAGAAAUUUCGGACGCGACCGUUGGACGUCGAGGGCCCCUUCCCGGGGGGGAUCCCCUCCAGGGGAAUGACAAUUAAUGACUGCGCAUCCAAAGCAGGAAUCAUGGAGGAGGUGACCAUGGAAUGGCCAGAGCGGAGCUUGUCAGCUCCUGGGAAUCCGUCGUACGCGUUAACCAAACCCGUCCCCGGCGGCGCAGGGGAUUCUGAUCUUCAGGCCGGAAGGCCAUCCAUGCACAGGCAUUCCUCUGCGACACGAGGAGACGACGGGGAGGGGAUACAGUCGCGCUGUCUGGUUUCGCCAUUUCAUUCUGUCCCCCGUGAGCCACUAGGUGGGUAGGACACAGUAAGCCCUCAAUUACCAUUUUACGUGGGUUUCCUCCCCUGUCCAUCGCCCAGUUGUCUU